AUUUACAUCUAUCAUGCUUCCUCAGGAAGUUAUUCGAAGAUGUUCUCCAGCAAAAUAAGAGGUAACCCGGGAUCCAUGAAAGAGUGUUUUCAACCCAAGAGUGUGACAAAGAGAAUUUCCAGGAUGACAGCCCUGGUUCAAGUGUCUGUUCCUCAACUUCUGUGGCUUGUUUAUUAUCCGGACAUGAGCAUCUUACAUCAGCCAUCGACAGUAAGUGGGGGGAAGCUAUCUCCAUGAGGAGGAAAUGAGGAGCCCCUUUCAGAAUAUGCCACAAGGACCCAUCGAAGGCACUGCCAUAGAAUCAACACUGAUUGCCAAGGUCUGAAGAGAAGCAGAUGUGCUCAUAUCUAAGGGGGAAAAAAAACCAGAUUCUGCAAAAUUCA
Molecule: long non-coding RNA, 383 nt
Organism: Symphalangus syndactylus (siamang)
Lineage: Eukaryota; Metazoa; Chordata; Mammalia; Primates; Hylobatidae
Source: RefSeq, a predicted model, not a curated record